ACCAGACUCCUACGGGAGGCAGCAGUGGGGGAUAUUGCACAAUGGGGGGAACCCUGAUGCAGCGACGCCGCGUGGGUGAAGAAGUAUUUCGGUAUGUAAAGCCCUAUCGGCAGGGAAGAAAUUGGACGGUACCUGACUAAGAAGCCCCGGCUAACUACGUGCCAGCAGCCGCGGUAAUACGUAGGGGGCAAGCGUUAUCCGGAUUCACUGGGUGUAAAGGGAGCGUAGACGGCCAUGCAAGCCUGGAGUGAAAGCCCGGGGCCCAACCCCGGGACUGCUCUGGGAACUGUGCGGCUGGAGUGCGGGAGGGGCAGGCGGAAUUCCUGGUGUAGCGGUGAAAUGCGUAGAUAUCAGGAGGAACACCGGUGGCGAAGGCGGCCUGCUGGACUGCAACUGACGUUGAGGCCCGAAAGCGUGGGGAGCAAACAGGAUUAGAUACCCCGGUA
Molecule: ribosomal RNA, 446 nt
Filed under: uncultured bacterium
Lineage: Bacteria
Description: bacterial SSU rRNA
Rfam family: Bacterial small subunit ribosomal RNA
Source: RNAcentral